UACAGAGGGGGCAAGCGUUAUUCGGAAUUAUUGGGCGUAAGGGCGCGUAGGCGGCUUUGCAAGUGACGGGUGAAAUCCCUCGGCUUAACCGAGGAACUGCCUGUCAGACUGUAAGGCUUGAGACCGGGAGAGGUGAGUGGAAUUCCCAGUGUAGCGGUGAAAUGCGUAGAUAUUGGGAGGAACACCAGUGGCGAAGGCGGCUCACUGGACCGGUACUGACGCUGAGGCGCGAAAGCGUGGGGAGCAAACAG
Molecule: ribosomal RNA, 251 nt
Filed under: uncultured prokaryote
Description: partial 16S ribosomal RNA
Rfam family: Bacterial small subunit ribosomal RNA
Source: RNAcentral